CUUAAACUGGAACUGAAGAAAAAGUAUAAUAGAUAUUGAAAAGAUAAAUACAAGUUGAAUAGUUGAAUGUCUUGUCUUCGUUUUAAAGUUUGAAUGGUGGCUCUAUGUGAACGUAUGUUGAAGUAUAAGAGUUUAAAAAUGAGUAAGUUGAAUGAGAAUUUGAAGGGUCUCCCCAUUGAAAUACAUGGGAAAUUUUUGUUGAAUAAAGUUGAAUAAAAUUAAAAAUAUAAAUGUUAAAAAUGAGAAAAAUAGAAGCAAUGUUGUCCAAAAUAAUAGGAAUCUAACGAUGUUUGAAUGGUUUUUCUAAGUUGAACGGUUUUGAAGGAGUAGGCUUUCAAAAAACGUACGGAAAAAUAAAAUAUAACUAGAAAGUGCAUUUUCUGAAGAAACUGCAGUGUGAAUGCUUGAAUCUGAAUGUAUGCACUGAAAUGAAUUAAUUGCUGAAUUUUGAGUUAAAAAUAUUGAAUGAGAUAAAAAAAAACAACAAAAAAAAACGAAUUUAACCUGAAAACAAAGGUGCUGAACUGCUAAAAGCUGAAGGUUACACAGAAGAAGGAGUUGGAAAAAAACUGAAAAUGUUUUAAAUGUAAAUUAGAAAACCCUAAGAAAUGAGAAAAGAACAUUUAGAGUCAGAAAACAUCUGAAUGAAUAUUAAAAGGUCAUAUUCUUUGAAUCACUGAAUGACUCAAAUGUGAUCCCUCCACUUUGAUACACACAGUUUAAAAAGUUUAAAUGCCUGAGCUUUGAAAGAUACGGUGUUGGAAAGAGAACAAUAAUGGCGACAAUUUGAGGGUAAAAUGAUGGCUGUAACACUGUGG
Astatotilapia calliptera (eastern happy) is the source of this 818-nucleotide long non-coding RNA. Lineage: Eukaryota; Metazoa; Chordata; Actinopteri; Cichliformes; Cichlidae. The record is from Ensembl.